UACGUAGGGUGAAAGCGUUGUCCGGAAUUAUUGGGCGUAAAGAGCUCGUAGGUGGCCUGUCGCGUCGGCUGUGAAAACUCGGGGCUCAACUCCGAGCUUGCAGUCGAUACGGGCAGGCUAGAGUUCGGCAGGGGAGACUGGAAUUCCUGGUGUAGCGGUGAAAUGCGCAGAUAUCAGGAGGAACACCGGUGGCGAAGGCGGGUCUCUGGGCCGAUACUGACACUGAGGAGCGAAAGCGUGGGGAGCGAACAGG
This 253-nucleotide ribosomal RNA is filed under the name uncultured bacterium. Its description in RNAcentral is "partial 16S ribosomal RNA". It matches the Rfam family "Bacterial small subunit ribosomal RNA", at positions 524 to 776 of the family's 1533-position model. The record is from RNAcentral.